This 244-nucleotide unclassified non-coding RNA is filed under the name uncultured Russula. RNAcentral's name for it is "sequence contains ITS2". The record is from RNAcentral. Lineage: Eukaryota; Fungi; Basidiomycota; Agaricomycetes; Russulales; Russulaceae.
AAUUCUCAAAACCCCUUCCUUUGCCGGAAAGGGUUUUGGACUUGGAGGCCUUUUGCUGGUUUCACCUUGAAACGAGCUCCUCCUAAAUGGAUUAGUGGGGUCUGCUUUGCUGAUCCUUGACGUGAUAAGAUGCUUCUACGUCUCGGGUUUUGGCACUGUGCCUCUGCUUCUAACCGUCUCAUUGACAAUGAUGGUGUCCCGGUCACCGCCGAUUCCUCGGUGGGAGGCUUGACCCACAAAACGA